UGCAAGGGUAAUGGUUGUAAUAGC
RNAcentral lists this non-coding RNA (24 nucleotides) under Arabidopsis thaliana (thale cress). Lineage: Eukaryota; Viridiplantae; Streptophyta; Magnoliopsida; Brassicales; Brassicaceae. The record is from RNAcentral.